Molecule: ribosomal RNA, 500 nt
Filed under: uncultured bacterium
Lineage: Bacteria
Description: bacterial SSU rRNA
Rfam family: Bacterial small subunit ribosomal RNA
Source: RNAcentral
CGGAUGGAUUCUUAAGUCAUCUUAGCGGCGAACGGGUGAGUAACGCGUGAGAAACCUGCCUUUCACAAAGGGAUAGCCUCGGGAAACUGGGAUUAAUACCUUAUGACACUUUAACCUCGCAUGAGGAAUAAGUUAAAGCGUAAAGCGGUGAAAGAUGGUCUCGCGUCCUAUUAGCUAGUUGGUGAGGUAACGGCUCACCAAGGCCAUGAUAGGUAGCCGGCCUGAGAGGGUGAACGGCCACACUGGAACUGAGACACGGUCCAGACUCCUACGGGAGGCAGCAGUGGGGAAUAUUGCACAAUGGAGGAAACUCUGAUGCAGCGACGCCGCGUGAAUGAUGAAGGCCUUCGGGUCGUAAAAUUCUGUCCUUGGGGAAGAUAAUGACGGUACCCAAGGAGGAAGCCCCGGCUAACUACGUGCCAGCAGCCGCGGUAAUACGUAGGGGGCAAGCGUUGUCCGGAAUUAUUGGGCGUAAAGGGUUCGCAGGCGGUCUGAUAAGU